AAUUCCCUGCUGUGUGCGACAGCAGCCCCUCGUUUUGAGCCAACACCUUUACUUAGGGAAUUCGAGUUCACAGUGGCUCUCAAGCCGGCUUGACCGGAAGGGAAAGAUUCGUGAGGAGAUUACCCACCUGCUUGCGCGCAGGUUCAAAACAGGGUCUAUGAACGGCACGGCGGGGUCUUU
RNAcentral lists this non-coding RNA (180 nucleotides) under Negativicutes bacterium. RNAcentral's name for it is "6S RNA". It matches the Rfam family "6S / SsrS RNA". Rfam says of the family: E. coli 6S RNA was the first non coding RNA to be sequenced, but its function was unknown until recently. It consists of 184 nucleotides that fold into an extended hairpin structure with a large single-stranded internal bulge. The record is from RNAcentral. Lineage: Bacteria; Bacillati; Bacillota; Negativicutes.